AAGCUUACCAAAGAUAUAAGCACAACAAACAUUAGUUUUUUUAGACCUGGAGAUUUAUAUUCACAAUGAUAGAAUCACGACCCGUACACACUUUAAACAAGUAGAUGUGAAUAGCUACCGAAAUAGAUAGUUGCCAUAAUUUUCCUUGGUUAAAAAAUAUACCCAAAGGGCAAUUUUUAAGACUUCGUAGGAACUGUUCUGAACAGUCAGUUUUUAGAAAUCAAGCUAACGCUUUGAAAGAGCAGUUUAAACAAAAGGGAUAUUCCGAGGAAAAAUUACAACAGGAGAUUAAUCAAGUCUUAGAAUCUGAUAGGGGUCAACUUUUAAAG
Pelobates cultripes (western spadefoot toad) is the source of this 329-nucleotide non-coding RNA. Lineage: Eukaryota; Metazoa; Chordata; Amphibia; Anura; Pelobatidae. The record is from the annotation of a GenBank genome assembly.